GCCUGAUAAAAAGGGUUAUUUUGAUAGGAUAGAUAAUGUAAAAAUAAUUACCCUUAUUA
RNAcentral lists this transfer RNA (59 nucleotides) under Dicranocephalus sp. RNAcentral describes it as "partial tRNA-Ile". Lineage: Eukaryota; Metazoa; Arthropoda; Insecta; Hemiptera; Stenocephalidae. The record is from RNAcentral.